AAUAUGUUAGUUUAAAAAAAACAUUAAAUUGUAAAUUUAAAAUUAAAUUUAUUACAUGUUA
This 61-nucleotide transfer RNA is filed under the name Haemopis sanguisuga. Its description in RNAcentral is "tRNA-Tyr". Lineage: Eukaryota; Metazoa; Annelida; Clitellata; Hirudinida; Haemopidae. The record is from RNAcentral.